This 462-nucleotide ribosomal RNA is filed under the name uncultured bacterium. RNAcentral describes it as "partial 16S ribosomal RNA". It matches the Rfam family "Bacterial small subunit ribosomal RNA", at positions 28 to 507 of the family's 1533-position model. The record is from RNAcentral.
GACGAACGCUGGCGGCGUGCUUAACACAUGCAAGUCGAACGGAGAGGCCCUUCGGGGUACUCGAGUGGCGAACGGGUGAGUAACACGUGGGUGAUCUGCCCUGCACUUUGGGAUAAGCCUGGGAAACUGGGUCUAAUACCGAAUAUGAUCAUCGGCUUCAUGGUCGGUGGUGGAAAGCUUUUGCGGUGUGGGAUGGGCCCGCGGCCUAUCAGCUUGUUGGUGGGGUAAUGGCCUACCAAGGCGACGACGGGUAGCCGGCCUGAGAGGGUGACCGGCCACACUGGGACUGAGAUACGGCCCAGACUCCUACGGGAGGCAGCAGUGGGGAAUAUUGCACAAUGGGCGCAAGCCUGAUGCAGCGACGCCGCGUGAGGGAUGACGGCCUUCGGGUUGUAAACCUCUUUCAGCACAGACGAAGCGCAAGUGACGGUAUGUGCAGAAGAAGGACCGGCCAACUACGUG